This 646-nucleotide ribosomal RNA is filed under the name Macrotis lagotis (bilby). RNAcentral describes it as "partial 12S ribosomal RNA". Lineage: Eukaryota; Metazoa; Chordata; Mammalia; Peramelemorphia; Peramelidae. The record is from RNAcentral.
AAUAACUCGCCAGAAAAACUACUAGCUAAUGCUUGAAACUCAAAGGACUUGGCGGUGCCCUAAACCCAUCUAGAGGAGCCUGUUCUAUAAUCGAUAAACCCCGAUAUACCUAACCCCUUCUUGCCAAUUCAGUCUAUAUACCGCCAUCGUCAGCCUACCCCAACAGGGAUAAAAAGUAAGCAAAAUCAUUAACCAUAAAAACGUUAGGUCAAGGUGUAACAAAUGAAGGGGGAAGUAAUGGGCUACAUUCUCUAGUUUAGAGAAUAAACGAAUCAUCCUAAUGAAAUAAGAUGCCUGAAGGAGGAUCUAGNNNNNNNNNNNNNNNAAAAGGAGCUGGUAUCAGGCACACUUAAAGUAGCCCAUUACACCUUGCUUUACCACACCCCCACGGGAAACAGCAGUGACUAACAUUAAGCCAUGAACGAAAGUUUGACUAAGUCAUAAUUAACUUAGGGUUGGUAAAUUUCGUGCCAGCCACCGCGGUCAUACGAUUAACCCAAAUUAAUAGAUUCACGGCGUAAAGCGUGUUUAGACAACUCCCUAUAAUAAAGUUUAUAUCUAACCAAACUGUAAUACGUUAUAGUUAGCACUAAAAUAAACCACUAAAGUGACUUUAAUACUGUUGAACACACGAAAGCUAAGACAC